This 497-nucleotide ribosomal RNA is filed under the name uncultured bacterium. RNAcentral's name for it is "partial 16S ribosomal RNA". It matches the Rfam family "Bacterial small subunit ribosomal RNA", at positions 28 to 507 of the family's 1533-position model. The record is from RNAcentral.
GAUGAGCGCUGGCGGCGUGCCUAAUACAUGCAAGUCGAGCGAACGGACGAGAAGCUUGCUUUUCUGAUGUUAGCGGCGGACGGGUGAGUAACACGUGGAUAACCUACCUAUAAGACUGGGAUAACUUCGGGAAACCGGAGCUAAUACCGGAUAAUAUUUUGAACCGCAUGGUUCAAAAGUGAAAGACGGUCUUGCUGUCACUUAUAGAUGGAUCCGCGCUGCAUUUGCUAGUUGGUAAGGUAACGGCUUACCAAGGCAACGAUGCAUAGCCGACCUGAGAGGGUGAUCGGCCACACUGGAACUGAGACACGGUCCAGACUCCUACGGGAGGCAGCAGUAGGGAAUCUUCCGCAAUGGGCGAAAGCCUGACGGAGCAACGCCGCGUGAGUGAUGAAGGUCUUCGGAUCGUAAAACUCUGUUAUUAGGGAAGAACAUAUGUGUAAGUAACUGUGCACAUCUUGACGGUACCUAAUCAGAAAGCCACGGCUAACUACGUG